GCUACAGUUACAAAUGACAGUGAAUGGUCAGAUGUAUACAAUUGUGAUUAACAAUCCUCAACAAUACAUCAAACAAAAAUGCCUAUUAAACUUUCUCACAGACAGUCAAAGGUUGAAAACAAAUCAGAAGUGGUCCACAUCUUAAAAAACCUCACAGCAGAUUAAGAUUUUCCCCGAAAUUUCCCUGUAAAACCCGCAGUGGUAUGUCCAGUGCAGUAGAUACUGCCUGGCACAAAAGAGGAUUUGACAGUUUAACAUUGUACUGCACCAAUAAACUAAAUAUGGAGAGUAGCUUAGUCACUAAAGCAGUCAACACCAAAAUACACACAAUGGCCAGGGCACUGAAACUUGGAAGAGUGAAAGAGUAAAGUAGUGCGUUUUUAGCUAACAAAGUGACAUUGCGAGCUUUUGUCUAUCUUUCGUCCCUAAACUUGAUCUUUAAACAACAUCUCAUAAAUUGCCAAGCCAAUUUCAUGCAAACUUACGAUAUUGUCUAGUCAGUUUUUGUUUUGCUUGCAAUCGUUAUAUGACAUGACUAAAGACAUUUAGUUUUAUUCUUAAGUUAUUAUGUUUAUGUUUGUAUAAGACCCAAAUAUAUU
Ruditapes philippinarum (Manila clam) is the source of this 599-nucleotide long non-coding RNA. RefSeq lists it as uncharacterized. Lineage: Eukaryota; Metazoa; Mollusca; Bivalvia; Venerida; Veneridae. The record is from RefSeq and is a predicted model, not a curated record. The transcript is spliced from 3 exons.